This 499-nucleotide ribosomal RNA is filed under the name uncultured bacterium. RNAcentral's name for it is "partial 16S ribosomal RNA". It matches the Rfam family "Bacterial small subunit ribosomal RNA", at positions 30 to 523 of the family's 1533-position model. The record is from RNAcentral.
UUGAACGCUGGCGGCAGGCCUAACACAUGCAAGUCGAGCGGUUGAGAGUAGCUUGCUACUUGAUGCAGCGGCGGACGGGUGAGUAACGCGUGGGAAUCUGCCCAGUAGUGGGGGACAACAGCCGGAAACGGCUGCUAAUACCGCAUACGCCCUACGGGGGAAAGGGGGGGAUCUUCGGACCUCUCGCUAUUGGAUGAGCCCGCGUCGGAUUAGCUAGUUGGUAGGGUAAAGGCCUACCAAGGCUACGAUCCGUAACUGGUCUGAGAGGAUGAUCAGUCACACUGGAACUGAGACACGGUCCAGACUCCUACGGGAGGCAGCAGUGGGGAAUAUUGGACAAUGGGGGAAACCCUGAUCCAGCCAUGCCGCGUGUGUGAAGAAGGCCUUAGGGUUGUAAAGCACUUUCAGUGGGGAGAAAGGUUUGUCACCUAAUACGUGAUGAAAUUGAUGUUACCCACAGAAGAAGCACCGGCUAACUCCGUGCCAGCAGCCGCGGUAA